RNAcentral lists this ribosomal RNA (253 nucleotides) under uncultured bacterium. Its description in RNAcentral is "partial 16S ribosomal RNA". It matches the Rfam family "Bacterial small subunit ribosomal RNA", at positions 524 to 776 of the family's 1533-position model. The record is from RNAcentral.
UACGAAGGGGGCAAGCGUUGUUCGGAAUUAUUGGGCGUAAAGGGCGCGUAGGCGGUGCGGUAAGAGUGUUGUGAAAUCCCCGGGCUCAACCCGGGAACUGCGUCCGAUACUGGGAGGCUUGAAUCCGGGAGAGGGAUGUGGAAUUCCAGGUGUAGCGGUGAAAUGCGUAGAUAUCUGGAGGAACACCGGUGGCGAAGGCGGCAUCCUGGACCGGUAUUGACGCUGAGGCGCGAAAGCCAGGGGAGCAAACGGG